CAGCCAAUUAGUCGACUUUGACUUCAAGAUUGGCGGGCGCAGUUUUUGCAUUUCCCAUUAUACAGAAACACGCCAAUUCUAAUUCUAAAUAUACUAAAGACCAUGUUUCUGAGCUGAAUUGACACAGAGUGGGGGUUGAUUGGUUCGAUUAGGUUUUGGGUGUCCACCAUUUGAUUCGAAAGUUUGGUUUGUCUGAGGAAUUUGUAUUUGAUUGAUUGCAGAUAGAGGUUUUUCUCUUCUUCUUUUCUGUGUUGCAAGUGUAGUGCCUGCCUGCCUGCCUCUGUCUUUCUCCGUCUGGAAGCUGUGGUAGAAAAGAGAAGAAGAGGGAUUGAAAUCGGUAAGGUUCUAAAGUUUGAUUGAAAUCAGUAAGGUUCGAAAGUUUGAAGCUGUGGUGGAAAGGAGAAGAAGAGGGAUUGAAAUCGUUCUAAAUAUUGUUCACUGGAAUAUCUAGGAAAGAAGAAUAGGGACUGAAAUCGACGAACAGAUGAAUUAGCUAGAUUUUGACCGGAAACCUCACUGACUGUACACACAACUCCAUCCAUUCAAGAAAAAACUCCAUCAACAGCUAUUUCAGGAGCAUACUUCAAUUCAAUUUAUGCAUUGUAAUACAAAAUUUUGGCCAAAAUGUACUUCACAAUUCCUCUGGAAUUUUUCCCUGCGUGCCUUGCACAAAAAUUUCUAGUAUCUAAUUCUAUAAUAUUAACAACAUUACCAUCCAUUCAAGCAA
Rosa rugosa (rugosa rose) is the source of this 727-nucleotide long non-coding RNA. RefSeq lists it as uncharacterized. The transcript has 5 exons. The record is from RefSeq and is a predicted model, not a curated record. NCBI's taxonomy places the organism in Eukaryota, Viridiplantae, Streptophyta, Magnoliopsida, Rosales, Rosaceae.